AAUCUUGGACAAUGGGCGCAAGCCUGAUCCAGCCAUGCCGCGUGAGUGAUGAAGGCCUUAGGGUCGUAAAGCUCUUUCGCCAGAGAUGAUAAUGACAGUAUCUGGUAAAGAAACCCCGGCUAACUCCGUGCCUGCAGCCGCGGUAAUACGGAGGGGGUUAGCGUUGUUCGGAAUUACUGGGCGUAAAGCGCACGUAGGCGGAUCAGAAAGUAUAGGGUGAAAUCCCAGGGCUCAACCCUGGAACUGCCUUAUAAACUCCUGGUCUUGAGUUCGAGAGAGGUGAGUGGAAUUCCGAGUGUAGAGGUGAAAUUCGUAGAUAUUCGGAGGAACACCAGUGGCGAAGGCGGCUCACUGGCUCGAUACUGACGCUGAGGUGCGAAAGUGUGGGGAGCAAACAGGAUUAGAUACCCUGGUAGUCCACACCGUA
This 427-nucleotide ribosomal RNA is filed under the name uncultured marine bacterium. RNAcentral describes it as "bacterial SSU rRNA". It matches the Rfam family "Bacterial small subunit ribosomal RNA", at positions 360 to 804 of the family's 1533-position model. The record is from RNAcentral.